This 274-nucleotide ribosomal RNA is filed under the name uncultured bacterium. RNAcentral's name for it is "partial 16S ribosomal RNA". It matches the Rfam family "Bacterial small subunit ribosomal RNA", at positions 523 to 796 of the family's 1533-position model. The record is from RNAcentral.
CUACGGAGGGUGCAAGCGUUAUUCGGAAUCACUGGGCGUAAAGGACGCGUAGGCGGGUUGGCAAGUCAGAUGUGAAAUCCUACAGCUUAACUGUAGAACUGCAUUUGAAACUGCUAACCUAGAGUAUGGGAGGGGGAGAUGGAAUUAGUGGUGUAGGGGUAAAAUCCGUAGAUAUCACUAGGAAUACCGAAAGCGAAGGCGAUCUCCUGGAACAUAACUGACGCUAAGGCGUGAAAGCGGGGGGAGCAAACAGGAUUAGAAACCCUAGUAGUCC